RNAcentral lists this ribosomal RNA (472 nucleotides) under uncultured Pelotomaculum sp. RNAcentral's name for it is "bacterial SSU rRNA". It matches the Rfam family "Bacterial small subunit ribosomal RNA", at positions 916 to 1381 of the family's 1533-position model. Lineage: Bacteria; Bacillati; Bacillota; Clostridia; Eubacteriales; Desulfotomaculaceae. The record is from RNAcentral.
ACGGGACCCGCACAAGCAGCGGAGCAUGUGGUUUAAUUCGAAGCAACGCGAAGAACCUUACCAGGGCUUGACAUCCCCUGACCGCGUAUGAAAGUACGUUUUCACCCUCGGGUGACAGGGAGACAGGUGGUGCAUGGUUGUCGUCAGCUCGUGUCGUGAGAUGUUGGGUUAAGUCCCGCAACGAGCGCAACCCCUACGUUUAGUUGCUAACGCGUGAAGGCGAGCACUCUAGACGAACUGCCGUUGACAAAACGGAGGAAGGUGGGGAUGACGUCAAAUCAUCAUGCCCCUUAUGUUCUGGGCUACACACGUGCUACAAUGGCCGGUACAGACGGACGCAAAGCCGCGAGGUGGAGCAAAUCCUAAAAAGCCGGUCUCAGUUCGGAUUGCAGGCUGCAAUUCGCCUGCACGAAGUCGGAAUCGCUAGUAAUCGCAGGUCAGCAUACUGCGGUCGAAUACGUUCCCGGGCCUU